RNAcentral lists this ribosomal RNA (501 nucleotides) under uncultured bacterium. RNAcentral describes it as "partial 16S ribosomal RNA". It matches the Rfam family "Bacterial small subunit ribosomal RNA", at positions 30 to 523 of the family's 1533-position model. The record is from RNAcentral.
AUUGAACGCUGGCGGCAUGCCUUACACAUGCAAGUCGAACGGCAGCAUAGGAGCUUGCUCCUGAUGGCGAGUGGCGAACGGGUGAGUAAUAUAUCGGAACGUGCCCUAGAGUGGGGGAUAACUAGUCGAAAGAUUAGCUAAUACCGCAUACGAUCUACGGAUGAAAGUGGGGGAUCGCAAGACCUCAUGCUCCUGGAGCGGCCGAUAUCUGAUUAGCUAGUUGGUGGGGUAAAAGCCUACCAAGGCGACGAUCAGUAGCUGGUCUGAGAGGACGCCCAGCCACACUGGGACUGAGACACGGCCCAGACUCCUACGGGAGGCAGCAGUGGGGAAUUUUGGACAAUGGGGGCAACCCUGAUCCAGCAAUGCCGCGUGAGUGAAGAAGGCCUUCGGGUUGUAAGCUCUUUUGUCAGGGAAGAAACGGUUCUGGAUAAUACCCAGAGCUAAUGACGGUACCUGAAGAAUAAGCACCGGCUAACUACGUGCCAGCCGCCGCCGUAA